CAAGCUAGAGCUCGAUGAGUUUUUAUUUACACUAAAGGGGAAUUUGUUUAAUCAAUUUAGUUUGA
Molecule: transfer RNA, 65 nt
Filed under: Cassida sp. EMHAU-15090501
Lineage: Eukaryota; Metazoa; Arthropoda; Insecta; Coleoptera; Chrysomelidae
Description: tRNA-Val
Source: RNAcentral